UUCUGUGUUGGUGCAAUGUACUCAGGUUAAUAUGAUGCAAGUAACAUCACAAGCAUCAUAUUCACCUGAGUACAUUGCACCAACACAGAA
This is a non-coding RNA of Paramuricea clavata, 90 nucleotides long. The record is from the annotation of a GenBank genome assembly. NCBI's taxonomy places the organism in Eukaryota, Metazoa, Cnidaria, Anthozoa, Malacalcyonacea, Plexauridae.